AGAAAAUGGGUGUUUUUGUUUUCGGUUUCGUUUGUGAGUGUGGAAGAGGAAGUGGGUUGAUAUCGAGUGAAGUUUGUGUUAAAACCGUCGAUAUGCCCGCAUCGAUCGAUGGCAGUAAUGCCUUGUCGAUCGAUGUCCUCUUUAAAGACAAAUUCUAAUAUCUAAAUUUUCUAAAUAAUUCUAAUAUACGGAAAUUACUAUUAAUUACUAGUAAAUAUAAUUUAUUUGUUUUAAUUAAUGAUUUUUGAAAUUAAAUUAUUAUUAUUUUAUUAUUAUUAUUAUUAUUAUUUUUUUUUUUUGUAAAAAAUGGGUUGCCUCCCAUUCAGCGCUUAAUUUUUAAGUCUUUAGCUCGACUUCCUGAUUAAACUAAUUAUCAGGUUCAUACAACACCAUGGGCACUUUCGCUGGUGGUUUUGCCCAAUAAUGCUUAACUCGUUGGCCAUUCACCGUAAAUUCCUGGCCUUUCUCAUUUUGUAAGGUGAUAGCUCCAGAGGGUUGAACGUUCGGUACGGUGAAGGGUCCAGACCAACGGGAUUUUAGCUUUCCAGGAAAUAAAGUCAAUCGAGAGUUAUAAAGGAGAACUUGAUCAUCUGGCUCGAAGUGCCGGGAUAUGAUCUUUCUAUCGUGAUAAGCUUUAGUCCUUUCUUUAUAGAUUUUUGAAUUUUCGAAAGCUAAAUGUCUGAUUUCAUCAAGCUCGUUAAGCUGGAUGAGUCUCCUUUCUGCAGCUGGUUUGAUAUCAAAGUUCAAAAGUUUGGUAGUCCAAGCUGCUUUAUGUUCCAGUUCGACUGGUAGAUGACAUGAUUUGCCAUAAAGGAGGUGGAAUGGUGUUGUUCCUAACGGUAUUUUGUAGGCGGUCCUGUAGGCCCAAAGUGCAUUAUCUAGUUUCCUA
RNAcentral lists this long non-coding RNA (889 nucleotides) under Brassica rapa (field mustard). Its description in RNAcentral is "long non-coding RNA (BRAP_LNC003624)". The record is from RNAcentral. Lineage: Eukaryota; Viridiplantae; Streptophyta; Magnoliopsida; Brassicales; Brassicaceae.